Molecule: ribosomal RNA, 253 nt
Filed under: uncultured bacterium
Lineage: Bacteria
Description: partial 16S ribosomal RNA
Rfam family: Bacterial small subunit ribosomal RNA
Source: RNAcentral
UACGAGUGCCUCAAGCGUUAUCCGGAAUUACUGGGCGUAAAGGGUGCGUAGGCGGGUCUUUAAGUCAGGGGUGAAAUCCUGGAGCUCAACUCCAGAACUGCCUUUGAUACUGAGGAUCUUGAGUAUGGGAGAGGUGAGUGGAACUGCGAGUGUAGAGGUGAAAUUCGUAGAUAUUCGCAAGAACACCAGUGGCGAAGGCGACUCACUGGCCCAUUACUGACGCUGAGGCACGAAAGCGUGGGGAGCAAACAGG